Molecule: ribosomal RNA, 1343 nt
Filed under: uncultured bacterium
Lineage: Bacteria
Description: 16S ribosomal RNA
Rfam family: Bacterial small subunit ribosomal RNA
Source: RNAcentral
GACGAACGCUGGCGGCGUGCUUAACACAUGCAAGUCGAACGGAAAGGCCCUGCUUUUGUGGGGUGCUCGAGUGGCGAACGGGUGAGUAACACGUGAGUAACCUGCCCUUGACUUUGGGAUAACUUCAGGAAACUGGGGCUAAUACCGGAUAGGAGCUCCUGCUGCAUGGUGGGGGUUGGAAAGUUUCGGCGGUUGGGGAUGGACUCGCGGCUUAUCAGCUUGUUGGUGGGGUAGUGGCUUACCAAGGCUUUGACGGGUAGCCGGCCUGAGAGGGUGACCGGCCACAUUGGGACUGAGAUACGGCCCAGACUCCUACGGGAGGCAGCAGUGGGGAAUACUGCACAAUGGGCGGAAGCCUGAUGCAGCAACGCCGCGUGCGGGAUGACGGCCUUCGGGUUGUAAACCGCUUUCGCCUGUGACGAAGCGUGAGUGACGGUAAUGGGUAAAGAAGCACCGGCUAACUACGUGCCAGCAGCCGCGGUGAUACGUAGGGUGCGAGCGUUGUCCGGAUUUAUUGGGCGUAAAGGGCUCGUAGGUGGUUGAUCGCGUCGGAAGUGUAAUCUUGGGGCUUAACCCUGAGCGUGCUUUCGAUACGGGUUGACUUGAGGAAGGUAGGGGAGAAUGGAAUUCCUGGUGGAGCGGUGGAAUGCGCAGAUAUCAGGAGGAACACCAGUGGCGAAGGCGGUUCUCUGGGCCUUUCCUGACGCUGAGGAGCGAAAGCGUGGGGAGCGAACAGGCUUAGAUACCCUGGUAGUCCACGCUGUAAACGGUGGGUACUAGGUGUGGGGUCCAUUCCACGGGUUCCGUGCCGUAGCUAACGCUUUAAGUACCCCGCCUGGGGAGUACGGCCGCAAGGCUAAAACUCAAAGGAAUUGACGGGGCCCCGCACAAGCGGCGGAGCAUGCGGAUUAAUUCGAUGCAACGCGUAGAACCUUACCUGGGUUUGACAUGGAUCGGGAGUGCUCAGAGAUGGGUGUGCCUCUUUUGGGGUCGGUUCACAGGUGGUGCAUGGCUGUCGUCAGCUCGUGUCGUGAGAUGUUGGGUUAAGUCCCGCAACGAGCGCAACCCUUGUUCACUGUUGCCAGCACGUUAUGGUGGGGACUCAGUGGAGACCGCCGGGGUCAACUCGGAGGAAGGUGGGGAUGACGUCAAGUCGUCAUGCCCCUUAUGUCCAGGGCUUCACGCAUGCUACAAUGGCUGGUACAGAGAGUGGCGAGCCUGUGAGGGUGAGCGAAUCUCGGAAAGCCGGUCUCAGUUCGGAUUGGGGUCUGCAACUCGACCUCAUGAAGUCGGAGUCGCUAGUAAUCGCAGAUCAGCAACGCUGCGGUGAAUACGUUCCCGGG